CCUGGCAACAUCUUAGCUAGCUCUUUCCAACGCUCACAUGAUCGCCCACUGAAGCUAAUCAGGGCUGCGCUGGGUCAGUACCUGGAUGGGAGACUACAUGGAAAAGCUAGGUUGCUGCCAGAA
This 123-nucleotide ribosomal RNA is filed under the name Danio rerio (zebrafish). Lineage: Eukaryota; Metazoa; Chordata; Actinopteri; Cypriniformes; Danionidae. The record is from RNAcentral.